RNAcentral lists this long non-coding RNA (320 nucleotides) under Bos indicus x Bos taurus (hybrid cattle). RNAcentral describes it as "lncRNA (ENSBIXG00005010910.1)". Lineage: Eukaryota; Metazoa; Chordata; Mammalia; Artiodactyla; Bovidae. The record is from RNAcentral.
GCUCAGUAACCAUGCUUAGGAGUUGGGUGGAAUGGGUUGUCAUGACUUCUGGUUUCUGUCCUGCCUUUUCUUUUAGGAUGUGAGUUAUCUUGGCUGAAACUGAAGAAUGAAACAAUGCAGGUGCAGUUUGGAACCAUCUAAGAUAGCCAUUCAGGUGUGUGUAGCUGAAGAUGGCAAGGUUGAGGCCUCGUGAAUGAGCUUGCAUGAAACCAGAACUGAUGAAGUUGUUUUGGGAGCAACUCUAGCACACUUCCUUUUGCUUAUGAUUCUAUGGUGUGAUUAGAAGAAGAGAAUUCUUAGAAAGCGAACAAGGCAGCCAG